This 254-nucleotide ribosomal RNA is filed under the name uncultured bacterium. RNAcentral describes it as "partial 16S ribosomal RNA". It matches the Rfam family "Bacterial small subunit ribosomal RNA", at positions 524 to 776 of the family's 1533-position model. The record is from RNAcentral.
CACGUAGGGUGCGAGCGUUGUCCGGAAUUAUUGGGCGUAAAGAGCUCGUAGGCGGUGUGUCGCGUCGGCCGUGAAAACCUGCAGCUUAACUGUGGGCUUGCGGUCGAUACGGGCAUCACUGGAGUUCGGCAGGGGAGACUGGAAUUCCUGGUGUAGCGGUGAAAUGCGCAGAUAACAGGAGGAACACCGGUGGCGAAGGCGGGUCUCUGGGCCGAUACUGACGCUGAGGAGCGAAAGCGUGGGGAGCGAACAGG